RNAcentral lists this ribosomal RNA (600 nucleotides) under uncultured bacterium. RNAcentral describes it as "partial 16S ribosomal RNA". It matches the Rfam family "Bacterial small subunit ribosomal RNA", at positions 355 to 941 of the family's 1533-position model. The record is from RNAcentral.
UGGGGAAUAUUGGACAAUGGGCGCAAGCCUGAUCCAGCAAUGCCGCGUGUGUGAAGAAGGCCUUCGGGUUGUAAAGCACUUUUAUCAGGAGCGAAACGCUGUCGGCUAAUACCCGGCGGAACUGACGGUACCUGAGGAAUAAGCACCGGCUAACUUCGUGCCAGCAGCCGCGGUAAUACGAAGGGUGCAAGCGUUAAUCGGAAUUACUGGGCGUAAAGCGUGCGUAGGCGGUUUCUUAAGUCUGCUGUGAAAUCCCCGGGCUCAACCUGGGAAUGGCAGUGGAUACUGGGGAGGCUAGAGUGUGUGCAGAGGGUGGUCGGAAUUCCCGGUGUAGCGGUGAAAUGCGUAGAGAUCGGGAGGAACAUCAGUGGCGAAGGCGGCCACCUGGGACAACACUGACGCUGAGGCACGAAAGCGUGGGGAGCAAACAGGAUUAGAUACCCUGGUAGUCCACGCCCUAAAACGAUGCGAACUGGAUGUUGGUCUCAACUCGGAGAUACAGUGGUCGAAGCUGAACGCGUUAAGUUCAGCCGCCUAGGGGAAGUACGGGUCGCAAGACUGAAACUCAAAUGAAUUGACGGGGGUCAUAGCUGUUUCCUG